UAUUGGUCAAUGGGCUUACGGCUGAACCAGCCAAGUCGCGGGAGGGAAGACAGGCCUAUGGGUUGUAAAACUCUUUUGUCAGGGAGCAAUUGGCGCUACGAGUAGCGUUAUCGAGAGUAGCUGAAGAAAAAGCAUCGGCUAACUCCGUGCCAGCAGCCGCGGUAAUACGGAGGAUGCGAGCGUUAUCCGGAUUUAUUGGGUUUAAAGGGUGCGUAGGCGGAAUGCCGAGUCAGCGGUAAAAUCGCGGGGCUCAACCUCGCUCCGCCGUUGAAACUGGCGUUCUUGAGUGGGCGAGAAGUAUGCGGAAUGCGUGGUGUAGCGGUGAAAUGCAUAGAUAUCACGCAGAACUCCGAUUGCGAAGGCAGCAUACCGGCGCCCAACUGACGCUGAAGCACGAAAGCGUGGGUAUCG
Molecule: ribosomal RNA, 411 nt
Filed under: uncultured bacterium
Lineage: Bacteria
Description: bacterial SSU rRNA
Rfam family: Bacterial small subunit ribosomal RNA
Source: RNAcentral